AUUGAACGCUGGCGGCAGGCUUAACACAUGCAAGUCGAGCGAGCGGCAGACGGGUGUAUUGUGUCUGGGAACUUGCCUGAUGGUGGGGGAUAACUAUUGGAACCGGUAGAUAAUACAGCAUUCUAUCAGUUGUGCCUAGAGUGGACUAGCUAGUAGGUGGGGUAAUGGGUCACCUAGGCGACGAUCCCUAGCUGGUCUGAGGGGAUGACCGGCCACACUGGGACUGAGACACGGUCCAGACUCCUACGGGAGGCAGCAGUGGGGAAUAUUGCACAAUGGGCGCAAGCCUGAUGCAGCCAUGCCGCGUGUGUGAAGAAGGCCUUCGGGUUGUAAAGCACUUUCAGCGGGGAGGCGUUACUCGCAGAAGAAGCACCGGCUAACUCCGUGCCAGCAGCCGCGGUAAUUC
Molecule: ribosomal RNA, 406 nt
Filed under: uncultured bacterium
Lineage: Bacteria
Description: partial 16S ribosomal RNA
Rfam family: Bacterial small subunit ribosomal RNA
Source: RNAcentral